AGCCAGCUCUAUUAUCUGCUCUAUGAGUCGGUGUAGAGUUUGGUCAUCUUAUGGGAAACUAGCUCGGACUUCACUGAUGGGCUACUGGAUCAUACACUUUACUUUGAAAAAAUUUGAGUGUUUCAGGCAGGCAGUUGCUUAAAUAAUGAAAUAGGACUUUGAUCUGUUUGUUGGCUUCUCGAGGUCAAAGUA
RNAcentral lists this ribosomal RNA (192 nucleotides) under uncultured fungus. Its description in RNAcentral is "partial small subunit ribosomal RNA". The record is from RNAcentral. Lineage: Eukaryota; Fungi.